This 428-nucleotide ribosomal RNA is filed under the name uncultured bacterium. RNAcentral's name for it is "bacterial SSU rRNA". It matches the Rfam family "Bacterial small subunit ribosomal RNA", at positions 30 to 504 of the family's 1533-position model. The record is from RNAcentral.
CGAACGCUGGCGGCAGGCCUAACACAUGCAAGUCGAGCGCUCUCUUCGGAGGGAGCGGCGGACGGGUGAGUAACGCGUGGGAAUAUACCCUUCUCUAAGGAAUAGCCACUGGAAACGGUGAGUAAUACCUUAUACGCCCUUCGGGGGAAAGAUUUAUCGGAGAAGGAUUAGCCCGCGUUAGAUUAGAUAGUUGGUGGGGUAAUGGCCUACCAAGUCUACGAUCUAUAGCUGGUUUUAGAGGACGAUCAGCCACACUGGGACUGAGACACGGCCCAGACUCCUACGGGAGGCAGCAGUGGGGAAUCUUAGACAAUGGGCGAAAGCCUGAUCUAGCCAUGCCGCGUGAGUGAUGAAGGCCUUAGGGUCGUAAAGCUCUUUCGCCAGGGAUGAUAAUGACAGUACCUGGUAAAGAAACCCCGGCUAACUCC